Molecule: ribosomal RNA, 1343 nt
Filed under: uncultured bacterium
Lineage: Bacteria
Description: 16S ribosomal RNA
Rfam family: Bacterial small subunit ribosomal RNA
Source: RNAcentral
GACGAACGCUGGCGGCGUGCUUAACACAUGCAAGUCGAACGGAAAGGCCCUGCUUUUGUGGGGUGCUCGAGUGGCGAACGGGUGAGUAACACGUGAGUAACCUGCCCUUGACUUUGGGAUAACUUCAGGAAACUGGGGCUAAUACCGGAUAGGAGCUCCUGCUGCAUGGUGGGGGUUGGAAAGUUUCGGCGGUUGGGGAUGGACUCGCGGCUUAUCAGCUUGUUGGUGGGGUAGUGGCUUACCAAGGCUUUGACGGGUAGCCGGCCUGAGAGGGUGACCGGCCACAUUGGGACUGAGAUACGGCCCAGACUCCUACGGGAGGCAGCAGUGGGGAAUAUUGCACAAUGGGCGGAAGCCUGAUGCAGCAACGCCGCGUGCGGGAUGACGGCCUUCGGGUUGUAAACCGCUUUCGCCUGUGACGAAGCGUGAGUGACGGUAAUGGGUAAAGAAGCACCGGCUAACUACGUGCCAGCAGCCGCGGUGAUACGUAGGGUGCGAGCGUUGUCCGGAUUUAUUGGGCGUAAAGGGCUCGUAGGUGGUUGAUCGCGUCGGAAGUGUAAUCUUGGGGCUUAACCCUGAGCGUGCUUUCGAUACGGGUUGACUUGAGGAAGGUAGGGGAGAAUGGAAUUCCUGGUGGAGCGGUGGAAUGCGCAGAUAUCAGGAGGAACACCAGUGGCGAAGGCGGUUCUCUGGGCCUUUCCUGACGCUGAGGAGCGAAAGCGUGGGGAGCGAACAGGCUUAGAUACCCUGGUAGUCCACGCUGUAAACGGUGGGUACUAGGUGUGGGGUCCAUUCCACGGGUUCCGUGCCGUAGCUAACGCUUUAAGUACCCCGCCUGGGGAGUACGGCCGCAAGGCUAAAACUCAAAGGAAUUGACGGGGCCCCGCACAAGCGGCGGAGCAUGCGGAUUAAUUCGAUGCAACGCGUAGAACCUUACCUGGGUUUGACAUGGAUCGGGAGCGCUCAGAGAUGGGUGUGCCUCUUUUGGGGUCGUUUCACAGGUGGUGCAUGGCUGUCGUCAGCUCGUGUCGUGAGAUGUUGGGUUAAGUCCCGCAACGAGCGCAACCCUUGUUCACUGUUGCCAGCACGUUAUGGUGGGGACUCAGUGGAGACCGCCGGGGUCAACUCGGAGGAAGGUGGGGAUGACGUCAAGUCAUCAUGCCCCUUAUGUCCAGGGCUUCACGCAUGCUACAAUGGCUGGUACAGAGAGUGGCGAGCCUGUGAGGGUGAGCGAAUCUCGGAAAGCCGGUCUCAGUUCGGAUUGGGGUCUGCAACUCGACCUCAUGAAGUCGGAGUCGCUAGUAAUCGCAGAUCAGCAACGCUGCGGUGAAUACGUUCCCGGG